Molecule: ribosomal RNA, 80 nt
Filed under: Clostridioides difficile
Lineage: Bacteria; Bacillati; Bacillota; Clostridia; Peptostreptococcales; Peptostreptococcaceae
Source: RNAcentral
UUCCGAACACAGAAGUUAAGCUCUCUAGCGCUGAUGGUACUUGGUGGGAAACUGCCUGGGAGAGUAGGACGUAGCCAUGU